Molecule: small RNA, 562 nt
Filed under: Pongo abelii (Sumatran orangutan)
Lineage: Eukaryota; Metazoa; Chordata; Mammalia; Primates; Hominidae
Description: retained intron
Source: RNAcentral
GACGAGGGAUGUUAUUUUGGGCAGUGCAUCUGGACUUGGUUCAAGUGGCACCAGCCAAAUCCCUGCCUUACUGACCUCUCCCCUGGAGGAGCAGAAGCAGUGCUCGAGGCCGCCCUGGGAGGGCUGAGAGGCAGGCUCUGGACUGGGGACACAGGGAUAGCUGAGCCCCAGCUGGGGGUGGAAGCUGAGCCAGGGACAGUCACGGAGGAACAAGAUCAAGAUGUGCUUUAACUGAGAAGCCCCCAAGGCAGAGGCUGAGAAUCAGAAGAUAUUUCAGCAGACAUCUACAAAUCUGAAAGACAAAACAUGGUUCAAGCAUCCAGGCACAGGCGGUAAGUAUCCCACCCUCUUCUCACCCUCCAGCCCCCUGUGCUCCACCCAGCCCAUUUCAGUGCCCUCCCUGCUCCAUCCUCAGCCUCUCCCUUGGGGCAGCUCUCCCCCCUCGACCUCCUCCCCACCCACCCACUCUCCUGAGGUCCCAGAAGAAGAGCAUCUUCCACCUGUUGCCUGGGCUGGGUCCUGGGGUGAGGGGAGGCUCAGAAAUACUCGGAUGAGGGUCAAG